AAACCAUGAUGAGGACACUCUAAGAGAAGGUCUUUGAAUCGCUCCAUGCAUCGAGAAAAUGAAUCAUUGGGUCUUUGGCGAAACUAGAAGAUGUCGUUCCUAAGUUU
This 107-nucleotide small nucleolar RNA is filed under the name Cephalotus follicularis. RNAcentral's name for it is "Plant small nucleolar RNA R71". It matches the Rfam family "Plant small nucleolar RNA R71". From Rfam's summary of the family: R71 is a member of the C/D box family of snoRNAs containing the C (UGAUGA) and D (CUGA) box motifs. Multiple nearly identical copies of this snoRNA have been identified in Arabidopsis, and it is thought to function as a 2'-O-ribose methylation guide for 18S ribosomal RNA. Lineage: Eukaryota; Viridiplantae; Streptophyta; Magnoliopsida; Oxalidales; Cephalotaceae. The record is from Rfam by way of RNAcentral.